This is a small nucleolar RNA of Aotus nancymaae (Ma's night monkey), 69 nucleotides long. The record is from Ensembl. NCBI's taxonomy places the organism in Eukaryota, Metazoa, Chordata, Mammalia, Primates, Aotidae.
UCUCAGUGAUGAAAACUUUGUCAAGUUAUGCUACUGACAUUAAGUGAUGAUGAAGUGUGUCUGAAGAUA